GAAGGAUGAGAAGCUUCGACUAAGGUUCGACUUGAGCGCCAGCGAGAGAGCGUUGCCGCAGGCAACGACCCGAAGGGCGAAGCGCGCAGCGCUGAGUAAUCCUUCCCCCACCACCA
RNAcentral lists this small RNA (116 nucleotides) under Escherichia coli. RNAcentral's name for it is "partial RtT sRNA". It matches the Rfam family "RtT RNA", at positions 17 to 130 of the family's 130-position model. Rfam says of the family: This family represents a bacterial cis-regulatory element known as RtT RNA. The exact function of RtT is unknown although it is thought that it may be involved in changing the cellular response in relation to amino acid starvation. The record is from RNAcentral. Lineage: Bacteria; Pseudomonadati; Pseudomonadota; Gammaproteobacteria; Enterobacterales; Enterobacteriaceae.